AGGCUCGUGAUUGGGACUAAGUCGUAACAAGGUAGCCGUACCGGAAGGUGCGGCUGGAUCACCUCCUUUCUACGGAG
RNAcentral lists this ribosomal RNA (77 nucleotides) under Bifidobacterium pseudocatenulatum. RNAcentral's name for it is "partial 16S ribosomal RNA". The stretch from base 1 to 69 matches the Rfam family "Bacterial small subunit ribosomal RNA", at positions 1465 to 1533 of the family's 1533-position model. RNAcentral also lists the same sequence under 1 other name. Lineage: Bacteria; Bacillati; Actinomycetota; Actinomycetes; Bifidobacteriales; Bifidobacteriaceae. The record is from RNAcentral.